Nannospalax galili (Upper Galilee mountains blind mole rat) is the source of this 300-nucleotide long non-coding RNA. RefSeq lists it as uncharacterized. The transcript has 3 exons. Lineage: Eukaryota; Metazoa; Chordata; Mammalia; Rodentia; Spalacidae. The record is from RefSeq and is a predicted model, not a curated record.
CGCAGCUGCGACCCAUCUGCACGAAUGUCCCAGGUCCCUGGAGCGACGACGGCCGCUGCCUGAGCUGGAAAGAGGAAUGCCCGCUCCUGAGCAAGCCUCACUGGUGGAGGAGGGGCAGCCACAGAACCACCAGGAAGCUGUCUCCACUGGGCCAGGCAUGGAACCCGAGACCACAGCCACCACUAUUCUAGCUUCCGUGAAGGAGCAGGUAUUUACAUCCCUGAGUACAGUGGGGUGACUGGCAUGUAGAGCUGCUCCAGGUGCCAGUCAGAAUCGGAACAUGCAGGAUACUUGUGCGUC